This 510-nucleotide ribosomal RNA is filed under the name Chrysopodes lineafrons. RNAcentral describes it as "partial 16S ribosomal RNA". It matches the Rfam family "Bacterial large subunit ribosomal RNA", at positions 1825 to 2594 of the family's 2925-position model. The record is from RNAcentral. Lineage: Eukaryota; Metazoa; Arthropoda; Insecta; Neuroptera; Chrysopidae.
GUCUUUUUGUUUAAAAUAUAAAGUCUAACCUGCCCACUGAUAAAUUAUUAAAGGGCCGCGGUAUUUUGACUGUGCAAAGGUAGCAUAAUCAUUUGUCUCUUAAUUGGAGGCUGGAAUGAAUGGUUGAAUGAAAUAUUAACUGUCUCAUAUUUAAAAAUAUAAAAAUUUAGCUUUUAAGUUAAAAGGCUUAAAUAUAUUUAAAGGACGAGAAGACCCUAUAGAUCUUUAUAUUUUAAUAAAUAUUAUAAAAUAGUAGAAUAAUUAAUAAUAUUUAUUAAAAUAUUUUAUUGGGGUGAUAGGAAAAUUAAUUAAACUUUUUUUAAUUUAAAACAUUGAUUUAUGAAAUAUUGAUCCAUUUUUAGUGAUUAUAAGAUUAAGUUACCUUAGGGAUAACAGCGUAAUUUUUUUGAAGAGUUCAUAUCGAUAAAAAAGAUUGCGACCUCGAUGUUGAAUUAAAGGUUAUUUCUAGAUGCAGAAGUUUGGAGUUUAGGUCUGUUCGACCUUUGAAUC